RNAcentral lists this non-coding RNA (31 nucleotides) under Mus musculus (house mouse). The record is from RNAcentral. Lineage: Eukaryota; Metazoa; Chordata; Mammalia; Rodentia; Muridae.
CNGGAUGUUACUGGAAUCCCUGCCUCAUGGC